RNAcentral lists this ribosomal RNA (250 nucleotides) under uncultured bacterium. Its description in RNAcentral is "partial 16S ribosomal RNA". It matches the Rfam family "Bacterial small subunit ribosomal RNA", at positions 524 to 773 of the family's 1533-position model. The record is from RNAcentral.
UACGAAGGGGGCUAGCGUUGUUCGGAAUCACUGGGCGUAAAGCGCGUGUAGGCGGAUUGUUAAGUCGGGGGUGAAAUCCUGAGGCUCAACCUCAGAACUGCCUUCGAUACUGGCGAUCUUGAGUCCGGGAGAGGUGAGUGGAACUCCUAGUGUAGAGGUGAAAUUCGUAGAUAUUAGGAAGAACACCAGUGGCGAAGGCGGCUCACUGGCCCGGUACUGACGCUGAAACGCGAAAGCGUGGGGAGCAAAC